Molecule: transfer RNA, 77 nt
Filed under: Parcubacteria group bacterium CG_4_10_14_0_8_um_filter_35_7
Lineage: Bacteria
Also listed under: 1 other name
Description: tRNA-Arg
Rfam family: tRNA
About the family: Transfer RNA (tRNA) molecules are approximately 80 nucleotides in length. Their secondary structure includes four short double-helical elements and three loops (D, anti-codon, and T loops). Further hydrogen bonds mediate the characteristic L-shaped molecular structure. tRNAs have two regions of fundamental functional importance: the anti-codon, which is responsible for specific mRNA codon recognition, and the 3' end, to which the tRNAs corresponding amino acid is attached (by aminoacyl-tRNA synthetases). tRNAs cope with the degeneracy of the genetic code in two manners: having more than one tRNA (with a specific anti-codon) for a particular amino acid; and 'wobble' base-pairing, i.e. permitting non-standard base-pairing at the 3rd anti-codon position.
Source: RNAcentral
GCGCCUAUAGCUCAACUGGACAGAGCGUCAGAUUCCGGAUCUGAAGGUUAGAGGUUCGAGUCCUCUUAGGCGCGCCA